Molecule: ribosomal RNA, 301 nt
Filed under: uncultured bacterium
Lineage: Bacteria
Description: partial 16S ribosomal RNA
Rfam family: Bacterial small subunit ribosomal RNA
Source: RNAcentral
CAGUAGCCGCGGUAAUACAGAGGGUGCAAGCGUUAAUCGGAAUUACUGGGCGUAAAGCGCGCGUAGGUGGUUUGUUAAGUUGAAUGUGAAAUCCCCGGGCUCAACCUGGGAACUGCAUCCAAAACUGGCAAGCUAGAGUAGGGCAGAGGGUGGUGGAAUUUCCUGUGUAGCGGUGAAAUGCGUAGAUAUAGGAAGGAACACCAGUGGCGAAGGCGACCACCUGGGCUCAUACUGACACUGAGGUGCGAAAGCGUGGGGAGCAAACAGGAUUAGAUACCCCCGUAGUCCAUGUCUCUUAUAC